UUAAGUAGGUGUAUUAAGGGACAAUUUUAUUUAAAAUUUCGCGCGUGAUGUAGCGAGAUAUCUCGAUCCGAAAGUAUCGAUGGAAAAGCGUUGCUUACUUCAUAAUGGAGAAUCGCGAGCGUGCGGCAAGAUAGAUUUUGGCUGAAUUGCGACGCAUUUAAGUGAAAAUAAGAGGGAGUACGAAGAAUAUAAGUAGCAACAGCGAAAUAAGAGAGAAGGAAAAAGUCCGGGGCGGCAUCAAGUAACGGCAGAGAUAUCGAACGUAGUUGACGACAUCGACAAAUUGAGAGGAAAGGAGGUCUGAAAAUAAGGCAUCAAGUGUCACAAAAAACUAUAAUAAAAUCAACAAUUGACGACACCGACAAAUGGUGAGAGGAGGAGGCCUAGGAAAGGCAUCUGGCGCCGGUCAAGGAACUCUAAAGUCAACAUAUAUAGCUUGCAGUCAACGAUUGGCACAAGACAUUCAAAAUGCAAAAUGUCAUGCGUUUAAAUGCCGGGAGUGUCGUAUAAUGUAAAAUCGCGCGCUUAAGGGAUUACAGUUUAAAAGUAUCGCGUGUUUUGGUGCGGGAGUCUAAAAUCUAAAAUGUCGAGCGUUUUAGUGCGGGAGUAUCGUUUGAAGUAUCGCGUGUGUAAAUUAAAGACAAUUGACAUUUGACAAUCCUGAGAGGAGGAAUGGGCCUCGGGCGCCAGCGGAGCAACCUUGCGAUCAACGUAGCUACGAUGCAGUGACUCAACUCCGCUGUUGUGCAUCGGUUGGUGA
Molecule: long non-coding RNA, 760 nt
Organism: Nylanderia fulva
Lineage: Eukaryota; Metazoa; Arthropoda; Insecta; Hymenoptera; Formicidae
Source: RefSeq, a predicted model, not a curated record